Molecule: long non-coding RNA, 756 nt
Organism: Labeo rohita (rohu)
Lineage: Eukaryota; Metazoa; Chordata; Actinopteri; Cypriniformes; Cyprinidae
Exons: 2
Source: RefSeq, a predicted model, not a curated record
GUGCUGAUUUCUCUAUCAGCUGUGAUUUUGGUGAUUUGUCCUGUGGUGUUUCAUCUGUGCAACAAAAAUAAUUCAGGACUAGAGGAUGAGAAAAGCAUGUCAGAAUACACACAGAUCAUCUACAGCCUUCAGAUGAGAGAUCUGUCACAGGUCACUGAUUUCACAAUCAAUACAAAAGAUUUUAUGUGAUUGUUGACUUUGUUCAUCUACUUCCUCUCAACUCAUUUUUAGAGAGAAUGAAAGUAGGCUUAUUUCUUAAAAGCACAGUUUUAGCUCUUAAAUGUGUUUCAGUUUGUCUGAUGAGUUUAUUUACUCAAUUUUUAUUGACAUUUUUCUCUGUCUGUAACAGAAAUCACUUCAGGCUGUGACAUAUAAGCACAUGACACAAUGAUCAAGACAGCUAAAAUCAUGCAGCACUAUUUUUUUUGUUAUAAUUAUGAAUCAGUAAAAUUACACAAAAGGAAUUGAUCAUACAAAUUAUUACAAAUAUACAUUGAAUAGAUAAAUUGUUGGUUUAUUACAUUUUUCAGAAAAAAAUCAGGAAAGGGCUACCAAACUGGCUCCAGUUGUAUUCAUUUCAAACUGACACAGUGCCACCCAGUGGACAACAAAAUUAAUAAAUGCCUGCUACAUACAAACCCUACCAACUUUUGUCAGUAUUAGUGGUCCUUUCCUUAUGUUUUUCAGCUCCUCUAAUUCUCAAUCAGCAACCAGACUGAACAUCUCAGUGUUACUGAGAUCUGUCAGCAAUGCUAA